Molecule: long non-coding RNA, 1782 nt
Filed under: Anser brachyrhynchus (Pink-footed goose)
Lineage: Eukaryota; Metazoa; Chordata; Aves; Anseriformes; Anatidae
Description: lncRNA (ENSABRG00000008299.1)
Source: RNAcentral
GGGCUACGAAGCUGGUGAAGGGCCUGGAGCACAAGUCCUGUGAGGAGCAGCUGAGGGAGCUGGGGUUGUUUGGUCUGGAGAAGAGGAGGCUCAGGGGAGACCUCAUUGCUCUCCACAGCUUCCUUUCAGGUAGCUGUAGUGAGGUGGGGAUUGCUCUAAUCUCCCACGUGCCUGGUGACAGGACAAGGGGGAAUGGGCUAAAGUUGCGCCAGGGAGGUUUAGGUUGGGUAUUAGGAAAAUCUUCUUUACCAGAAGGGUUGUUAGGCAUUGGAAUGGGCUGCUCAGGGAAAUGGUUGAGUCACCAUCCCUGGAGGUAUUUAAAAGAUGUUUAAACCAUAUCACUAAGCUCUGCAUCUAGUGGAGGACUUGUUAGUGUUAGGUCAGAGGUUGGACUAGGUGAUCUUGGAGGUCUCUUCCAACCUAAAUGAUUCUGUGGAAGAUUAAGCAAUAUGAUUUUAUAAACUGAAGAACCACUGAAAAGAGAAAGAGGUGGGUAAGCUUUCCAAAUCAAUGCUGAACAAUUAUAAAGCUUUCUGAUUAUGGAUGGGUUUGCAUUGAUCGCUUGUCCCUUUCUAUGUAUAUGGUCUCAUAGGGUUUUAGAUACAUCAUCAUGUUUUGUGUUUUUUUUUCCCCAUAGGAUCCCUUUCGCAGCCUGGGCAGAGAGUGCACUUGCCGGACUGGUAGUUGUUCACUGUUGGUUGUGCUUCUCAGAAUCAGUCCCUGUACGUUUCCUACCUGCAUGCCGUCUGUAUCUUGCUCUGACGAUGUAUCAACUUUUAUAAUUUGGAGAAAAGAAACACCAGGCAUUUAUGCUGUAAAGGAUGACAGGAAGUGUUUCACUGGUGCAAAGAGAUUACUGAAUAUAAUAUUGGUGAAGAUUGUCUCAUUCUUCUGAAUGCAUCUCAGUGCUUGGAGGAUUAAAGCCCCGAUAUUUUUGGUUUUGUUUUGUUUUUCCAUUAUUUUUAACGUAUUCCUCUUCUGGCAUUCACCCAUUCCUUGGCACAUGACCAAGGUUCCCAUGUUGCCUGUUGAGAAGGAGGGUUAUGGAUAUGGAGACCUUAGUGCUUUGCAGGGGAAUAGUUUCCUCAUUUUAGACAGCAGUGAAGUCUUGCAUGUCUCUGUCUAGAAUGGUCUGGUAGAGGUUGGCCUGUAAUUAGUAGAAAUGUAAGAGGUGACUUGAAUUCUUUAAAAAGUAUAAUAUGAGAGCUGUGCCAGACAAAAUAAGAGUUUCCUGCUGUAGGCUUGGAAUUUGAUCAUCAGCCCUUACAAGAAAACAAUCCAGUGUGCCUAAAUCUUUAUGGCACCUGGGUUCUAUCCAAUUAGGUUUCAUUGCCUUUGUCGGUCACACCUUUUCAGUCUGCUUAGCUGGAUAGGUAUGCUUUCCAUCACCAAGAGGCAAAUUGGUCUGGCUAGGGAUAUGUUAAUGAGUGACGUAAUUCUAGAGGUCAUCAGGCAGUUUGGCUGUGCAUUGGGACACGUGUGACUUCUUGGUAAUUCCCAAGUUACUAAUGUUUUAGGUCUGUUUAUUUUCAGCAAAAUAUUAUUGGUGCAUGAAAUUACUGCUAGGAUCUCAAGAGGUUCCAGAGGAGAAUGUUAAUAUUGUUAGGAUCUAGCACUUUGAAAAAGGAGCUGGGAAAAGGUAUGUGAAGGCAGGGAGGUGGAGACUAAUUAUGGUCCCAAUUAAAAUUUCUGCAGGAAUGAAAAGCGUAGUCUAAGAGCUAACAUAGACACAACAGAAAGCAAAUCUUUCACUGGACUGUGGCUUCUGUGACAGAAACCAGG